RNAcentral lists this long non-coding RNA (504 nucleotides) under Physcomitrium patens. RNAcentral's name for it is "long non-coding RNA (PPAT_LNC001000)". The record is from RNAcentral. Lineage: Eukaryota; Viridiplantae; Streptophyta; Bryopsida; Funariales; Funariaceae.
AUACCUAAGAAUUCUACAUUAUCCUAUGCAUUCUAUCAAAUAUUACAAUCAAUAAUUCCAUCUUUAUAUUCACUAUAACUUCUCUUCUCCUUAUUUAUAACAACGAUAUAGAAUACUAUACUAUCUUAAAAGAUAACAUACAAAUACUCCAUAAUCCAAUCAUUGGAAUCCUCUACAUUUAAUUAUCAUUCUCCCUAUACUUCUUCACACAAAUCCAGACUCCAAAGACUCCUUCUCAAACCUCAGUAUUAUAAUUCUCCCAUUCAUAACCAUUCUUCACCAAUACUUCUAAUUGUCCACUUACAACUCUCCACUAUAUUCAUCCACAAUAAAUUCUAUACUUCAUUUAUAAUAUUAAAUCUCUUUUUUAUUCCAAAAUUUCACUUCACAUUAUUCAAAAAAUAUUCAUUACUCUUCAACUACAAAGAAACAAAGAGGUAGUACUAAGCUUAUCUUGGCUCAUAACUAUCACAAUCUGGCCCCUUCUACUUCUUUUUCAAUCUA